AGUGAACGCUGGCGGUAGGCCUAACACAUGCAAGUCGAACGGCAGCACAGUAAGAGCUUGCUCUUACGGGUGGCGAGUGGCGGACGGGUGAGGAAUACAUCGGAAUCUACUUUUUCGUGGGGGAUAACGUAGGGAAACUUACGCUAAUACCGCAUACGACCUACGGGUGAAAGCAGGGGAUCUUCGGACCUUGCGCGAUUGAAUGAGCCGAUGUCGGAUUAGCUAGUUGGCGGGGUAAAGGCCCACCAAGGCGACGAUCCGUAGCUGGUCUGAGAGGAUGAUCAGCCACACUGGAACUGAGACACGGUCCAGACUCCUACGGGAGGCAGCAGCGGGGAAUAUUGGACAAUGGGCGCAAGCCUGAUCCAGCCAUACCGCGUGGGUGAAGAAGGCCUUCGGGUUGUAAAGCCCUUUUGGUGGGAAAGAAAAGCAGCAGGUUAAUACCCCGCUGUUCUGACGGUACCCAAAGAAUAAGCACCGGCUAACUUCGUG
This 492-nucleotide ribosomal RNA is filed under the name uncultured bacterium. Its description in RNAcentral is "partial 16S ribosomal RNA". It matches the Rfam family "Bacterial small subunit ribosomal RNA", at positions 29 to 507 of the family's 1533-position model. The record is from RNAcentral.